Non-coding RNA from Maylandia zebra (zebra mbuna), 713 nucleotides. Lineage: Eukaryota; Metazoa; Chordata; Actinopteri; Cichliformes; Cichlidae. The record is from RefSeq and is a predicted model, not a curated record.
AGUUGGUAAAGCAGCUCGAGGAGGAGAAAACUGAGGUUUCCCGCAGCAGCCGAUUUAACUUUGGCUUUGGGAAAUGAUCCAAUCAAAACUAAUCCAGAAGUUGCUCAACAUGUAACUGAGGAGUCAAAAAGUCAAAGAGCUUCAUCAUGGAGAAACUUGUUGUUUGUUAUGUCACUGAUUCAUGUUUAAAUAAUCAGUUGUUCAACUUGUAACACUUUAAGUGAAGUAAGCAAAAGCUCUUAUCAUCCAUCUAAAAUUCCCAAAUACUAAAGUUUUUCAGUCCUUGUUCAGUUGUACAGAAAAACUAAUAAACCUUAUCAACUAAAAAUAUGCUGAAAAUGCACUGCUGAUUUAUUAACUUAAUUUUGUUUUUUGAAAGAUUUUAAACUUGUUUUAAGUUAGUAAACCAACUGAUCAAUAAAAAUUUGAUCAGGUAACAACUCCUGAGCCAAAGCACUAUUCUGGGAACAUUUUUGUGUCUAUGUGUUUAAUAGGGUUAAUAUUUUGUUCAUUUUUCUGUGUCAGACAAAUAGAAUUGUAAUGUUGCUGUACCUGUGUUAUUGUGUUUCAAAACCAUGUUUAUAUACGUCUGAGUUCAAAUGUUAAUUAAAGUGAGAAAUGGAAGAAACUAUGUUGGAUUUUUAACGCUAAAUUUCAAACUUAUUACUAAAAUAAAUAUAGUUCUAGUUUUUCCUGUGCUAUAUAUAAACAUA